GAUGAACGCUGGCGGCGUGCCUAAUACAUGCAAGUCGAGCGAACAGACGAGGAUCUUGCUCCUCUGACGUUAGCGGCGGACGGGUGAGUAACACGUGUAUAACCUACCUAUAAGACUGGGAUAACUUCGGGAAACCGGAGCUAAUACCGUAUAAUAUAUUGAACCGCAUGGUUCAAUAGUGAAAGACGGUUUUGCUGUCACUUCUCGAUGGAUCCGCGCCGUAUUAGCUAGUUGGUAAGGUAACGGCUUACCACGGCAACGAUGCGUAGCCGACCUGAGAGAGGGAUAGGCGACACUGGAGCUGAGACACGGUCCAGACUACUACGGGAGGCAGCAGUAGGGAAUCUUCCGCAAUGGGCGAAAGCCUGACGGAGCAAGGCGGCGUGAGUGAUGAAGAUCUUCGGAUCGUAAAACUCGGUUAUGAGGGAAGAACAAAUGUGUAAGUAACUAUGCACGGCUUGACGGUAACUAAUAAGAAAGCAACGGCUAACUACGUG
Molecule: ribosomal RNA, 497 nt
Filed under: uncultured bacterium
Lineage: Bacteria
Description: partial 16S ribosomal RNA
Rfam family: Bacterial small subunit ribosomal RNA
Source: RNAcentral